CACGUAGGGCGCAAGCGUUGUCCGGAAUUAUUGGGCGUAAAGAGCUCGUAGGCGGUCUGUUGCGUCCGCUGUGAAAACUCGGGGCUUAACCCCGAGCCUGCAGUGGAUACGGGCAGACUAGAGGUAGGUAGGGGAGAAUGGAAUUCCCGGUGUAGCGGUGAAAUGCGCAGAUAUCGGGAGGAACACCGGUGGCGAAGGCGGUUCUCUGGGCCUUACCUGACGCUGAGGAGCGAAGCG
Molecule: ribosomal RNA, 237 nt
Filed under: uncultured bacterium
Lineage: Bacteria
Description: partial 16S ribosomal RNA
Rfam family: Bacterial small subunit ribosomal RNA
Source: RNAcentral